UAUGUCAUGGUCAACCUUCAGUUGCUUCUUUUGGAAGUCUCAGUGUUAUCAAAGUAAAAAAUUGCGUCCAGUUAAAGUAUCUUUUCUCCUUUACAAUGGUUAAAGGACUUUCUCACCUUUGUAAGAUUGAAGUUUGUGAGUGCAAUUCUAUGAAGGAGAUAGUGUUCAGAGACAACAAUUCAAGUGCUAAUAAUGAUAUUACUGAUGAAAAAAUCGAGUUUCUUCAAUUGCGUUCUUUGACUUUAGAACAUUUGGAGACACUUGAUAAUUUCUUCUCAUAUUAUUUGACACAUUCUAGAAAUAAGCAAAAGUGUCAUGGUUUAGAGCCGUGUGAUUCUGCACCAUUUUUUAAUGCUCAGGUAUGUUAUUUUGUUUUUAAGUUUCUCUCGAUACAAAUGAUAAAAAUUUUAAUAUCAAUUUUCAAUAUAUAUAUAUAUAUAUAUAUAGGGUGUAUCAAAUGAGAGGAGUGUUAAAAUGAGAGAUGAUAGCAUUAAAGGACAGCCGUUGGAGAGGAGAAGGCGAGAGAAGAAAGCAAAAGCGGAAAUGAAGGGAAUAAAAGAGAUUACAGGCUGCAGAUUUAAAAAUUAAGUAACACAAUUAAGAUGGAUCCAAGGGUUGUGAUUUAACCCUAUCAUCUCUCAAUGUAAAUAUUGCUCUCAUUUGAUACAUCCCAUAUAUAUAGGUGUGUGCGUGUGUGUGUGUGUGAGAGGCCUAUCGUUAUAGUCACCAUAUCACCAUAUAUACGCCUUCAAUAAUGUUUUUGUUAAUUUGUUUUUACGUAGGUUGUAUUUCCUAAUUUGGAUACCCUUAAAUUUAGCUCACUUCUCAAUUUGAAUAAAGUCUGGGAUGACAAUCAUCAAUCAAUGUGCAACUUGACUAGCUUGAUUGUGGAUAAUUGUGUUGGAUUGAAGUAUUUAUUUCCCUCUACUUUGGUUGAAAGUUUUAUGAACCUCAAACACCUUGAAAUAAGUAACUGUCAUAUGAUGGAGGAGAUAAUAGCUAAAAAAGACAGAAACAAUGCAUUGAAAGAGGUAUGAUAAUUUUUUUUUUUUUUGAGAGAAGGUAUGCUAAUUCUAUUAUUGGAGCAUCCAAUUAAUUUUAAAUAAUUAUUUAUACUGAUGGUGGUUAUUUAUGAAUUCAUAGGUUCGUUUUUUAAAUUUAGAAAAAAUCAUAUUGAAGGAUAUGGACAGCUUGAAGACAAUAUGGCAUUACCAAUUUGAAACAUCCAAGAUGUUGGAAGUGAACAAUUGUAAGAAAAUUGUGGUGGUUUUUCCUUCUUCAAUGCAAAAUACAUAUAAUGAGCUUGAGAAGUUGGAGGUUACAAAUUGUGCUUUAGUUGAAGAGAUAUUUGAAUUGACUUUCAAUGAAAAUAACAGUGAAGAGGUUACAACACAUUUGAAAGAAGUUACUAUAGAUGGAUUGUGGAAUCUGAAAAAGAUAUGGAGUGGAGAUCCGGAAGAAAUUCUUAGUUUUCAAAAUCUAAUAAAUGUAAAAGUAGUAAAUUGUGCAAGCUUGGAGUAUUUAUUACCAUUCUCCAUAGCCACUCGUUGCUCACAUCUCAAGAAACUUGGUAUAAAAUGGUGUGAAAACAUUAAGGAAAUUGUUGCAGAGGAGAAAGAAUCUAGCUUGAGUGCAGCUCCCAUAUUUGAGUUUAAUCAACUAAGUACUUUAUUGCUUUGGAACUCACCUAAACUCAAUGGUUUCUAUGCUGGAAAUCAUACUCUAGAAUGUCCAUCAUUGAGAGAAAUUAAUGUCUCUAGAUGUACAAAGUUGAAAUUGUUCAGAACACUAUCUACAAGAAGCUCCAAUUUUCGAGAUGACAAACCCUCUGUUUUAACGCAACCACCACUUUUCAUUGCCGAAGAGGUACGAAUAAUAAACACUCUGCAGGACUUGUUUUUAUUUUAUUUUACAUUAAGGAGUUAGCGUUAUUCUUUAAUCUUUUGAAAUACCGAUCAACUACUUCCUCUGAUCCUAAAUAUAUGAAAAGUAUCUUUUCUUUAGGUUCCUUGAAUAAUUAAUGCAUUUGAACUAUACUAUAUAAACUAAAUACAUCGUUUAUUCAAUGAACCUAAAAAUAAAAAUUUCUCUGAUAUUUAGGACCAGGAGUAUUACUAUUCAUUUAUAAAUUUGGAAAAAUUUAAAACUACCCAAAAACUUUAUAAAAUGACAAAGCCUAUUUAAUGUCAAAAGUUAUUAAAAUAUUUUACAUUAUAGAUAUCUCCCUACGGUCUCGAAUGUGAGAAACAAAACAAAAAAUUUGAUGGUCUCAAAUAUAAGCAAAAAUAUACAAAAGUCGUCCUAUUAAAUGUUGCUAUUCCAAUCUCACCCUCAUUAUCUUUAUUUAAUUUGUUUCACAUUCCCAUGUUUAACACUUUCUAAAGAUUAUUCAUUGGUUUAGUUCAAAAGUCAUGUUUUCUUGUAAAAUGUUUCUAUCAUUAAUGUUUGAAUGUGUACUACUUGAGAAAUAACUCCAGAACAAGGGAAAAAAAAAUAGAAAAAUGGUAUUUUUUUAUAAUGACUUAAAUACAGUCAUUCCACUUUCUUCGUAGGUGUUCCUUUUUUUUUUCCUUACAUUCAAGAUCGGAAGGAGUACUUGAUAAUUUCUAUAACAAAAAUAACAACUAGCAAGAGUGGCAUUUAAAUACAAAAUUGAUAUAUUUGAGUAUAAAAGAAAUUGAAAAAAGUAUAGAGAUAUUGGCAAAAAUUAAAAAGACAAAUUUUAGUCAAUAGUAAUUAUUGUUUCACUCAAUAAUAAAAUGUUUAAUUCUCUUACAUUGUUGUUUAAAUAUGUUUUAGGUGAUUCCAAACUUGGAGCUGUUGAGGAUGGUACAGGCAGAUGCUGACAUGAUAUUGCAAACUCAAAACUCAAGUGCCCUCUUUAGCAAAAUGACUUCUAUUGGCUUGACUAGCUAUAACACUGAAGAGGCAAGAUUUCCUUAUUGGUUUCUUGAAAAUGUGCAUACUCUUGAGAAACUACAUGUUGAGUGGAGUUGCUUCAAGAAGAUAUUUCAAGAUAAAGGAGAAAUAAGUGAGAAGACUCGUACACAAAUCAAAACACUGAUGUUGAAUGAAUUACCUAAACUUCAAUAUAUAUGUGAUGAAGGAUCUCAAAUUGACCCAGUUCUUGAGUUCCUUGAAUACUUAAAGGUUCGUAGUUGUUCUAGUUUGACAAAUUUGAUGCCUUCCUCUGUCACACUUAAUCAUCUGACGCAGUUGGAGAUAAUAAAAUGCAAUGGGCUAAAAUAUUUAUUCACAACUCCUACGGCGCAAAGUUUAGACAAACUCACGGUGCUGCAGAUAGAAGAUUGUAGUUCACUUGAAGAAAUAAUUACUGGAGUAGAAAAUGUUGACAUUGCUUUUGUUAGUUUACAAAUUUUGAAUUUGGAAUGUUUGCCAAGCCUCGUCAAAUUUUGCUCUAGUGAGUGUUUCAUGAAGUUUCCGUCAUUGGAGAAAGUAAUUGUUGGCGAAUGUCCUCGCAUGAAGAUUUUUUCUGCCGGACACACAAGUACACCAAUUCUUCAAAAAGUCAAAAUUGCAGAAAAUGAUUCAGAAUGGCAUUGGAAGGGAAACCUAAACAAUACAAUAUACAACAUGUUCGAAGAUAAGGUAUGCUUGAUUUACAACGCGCACACGUUUGUGUGUGUACAUUGUGACCAUAUAUCGUUAAAAAGUAGUUGUAAGAAUUUUUCAAAAGAAAAGUGAAAGUAAUUGCAUUUCAAAUUUACAAAGAACAUUUUUACCUAUGUAUAUAGAUUUUGUAAAUGCACUAUAUGUUACUACUACUUUUGUUUGAACUAACUCAUAAUACAAUUGUUUUACAGGUGGGAUUUGUUAGUUUCAAGCAUUUACAACUAUCUGAAUAUCCCGAGUUAAAAGAAUUGUGGUAUGGUCAACACGAGCAUAACACAUUUAGGAGUUUGAAGUAUCUAGUGGUUCAUAAAUGUGAUUUUUUGUCCGAUGUGCUCUUUCAACCUAACUUGUUAGAAGUGCUGAUGAAUCUGGAAGAAUUAGAUGUGGAGGAUUGUAAUUCAUUAGAAGCAGUUUUUGAUUUGAAAGAUGAAUUUGCCAAAGAAAUUGUUGUGCGGAAUUCUACUCAAUUGAAGAAACUAAAAAUAUCUAAUCUUCCAAAACUGAAGCAUGUAUGGAAAGAGGUAAGGGUAUCAUUAAAUAUCAUCCUUGCUCUGAAUAUACAUAAUACUAAUUAGGCUAAAUUGCUCACUUUGAAUAGGUUUUUUUUAAGGAUGAGUUAGACCUAAUAUAAGAUUUAAUAUGGUAUUAGAGCCUAUUCUAGACCCAUUAGGUCAAUGCUUCAGACCCAUUAGGUCUGAGCAUGAGGGGGUGUGUUGGAAAUUCCUUUUAUUGCGGUUUACCUUUAGCCGCUCCGACACUUGUGCUACAUUCAUUGCAGCCUUCAACACAUUUAUUGUAUUGAAUUUGGAGGGGUGAAUUUAGACCCACUUUGCUUAGAGAUAUGGCAUGUGUAGUGUUUAUAAAGUUUGGACAAUCCUCGUUUUACAAGUCGGUAUUGUAAACAUGACUUCGGCCCAAUAUAGAAUUUAAUAUUUAUAUGACAACCCAUCUUUAUAGGCAUAUUAAUUAUUAUACAUCAAUACUAAACCCUUACAAAGAAAAACAUUAGUAAAAUAACUCUUAGCGUUUGUUUCAAGUUUACCAAAUUUAUUCCUAGGAAUAACAUUCCUUGGAAUAUAAAGAUGAGAAUUUUUAUUUCAAGGUAUUUGGAAAAAAUAUGUUUGGUUAACUUUAUAAUAUUCCUAGGAACCAUAAAAUUAGGGAUUAUAAUAGGUAACUACAUAUGAAUUUAUUCUCAUCUCCAUGGGAACUUUAUUCCCACCAUUUUCUUUGGGAAAUUUUUUCUAUUCCCAGGAACAUUUUAUAUCCGGGAAUAAAAUUUAGUAAACUUGUAACAAACGUAUACAUAUAUAUUUCUAUCAUUUUAUUCUCAGGAAUCAACAAAUUUAACUUGAAACAAACCCAUCAAUCAUCGGUUAGUGAAGCUCUUAAUAUGUAGACACUCUCUAACUAUGAUAAUCGAAUGAAGUUUAUUGCUCCUCACCUCUCAAAUUCUCUCUCCGGGUUUCUCUAACUUCACACUAAUCAAUACAACUAUUUGAACUCUUUUUUACUUGUUGUGAUUGAUUCUAGACCCAAAAUUAUGUUAGAUAUCUUGUUUGUUGGGAAGAGGCUGCUGCACUUGAAACCUGAAAUGUUUAAUGCUUACGCAUGUAAAAUUCAAAGCGCAUGGGGUUGCCACACUAACCUUUAGGUUCGAUUCGCCCCCACCAAUAACUGUAUAUUGGAUGCAAUAGGAGUUACCGGCGAAUCCCCUUCAGGAUACUAUGAGUUCCUUGACGUGUAUUGCACAACCACACCAAGCGUAUCUCCUAACAGUAUUUUACAGAUUUAUGGUUUCAGCAAUUCACUCAUGCAUUAGAGAAUUAAUGGAUGAUUUAGAGAGCAAGAGAAUGAGGGAGAAUUAUGUUGUUAAUGCAACAAAAUUCUAUCCAAAAUUGUGUGUCAAAUUAAUGCCAAGUAUUUAUAGUGCAUUAUAUGACCCUUCACAUGAGAGAAAACACCCCUUUGACUUGAAUCAAUGUUAUGGUUCAUUAAGUACCCUUUUGCCAAGGGUUAUGAUCAUACACACUUGAGUCAAUGCAAAAGUUCAUUAAGCACCUAUUUGCCAAAGGUUCCAAUGUAUAUGAAAGACUCUCAUGAAGAGUUACAACUCUUGGUGAAGAGUUACAACUUUUGGUUCUAAAGUGAUUCCAUUAUUUUGGAAAUUACCAAUAAAUUAUAAGAAAACAGGUAUAGAUUUUGGGAUGUGUAAUCCUUCAAUUAUGAUUUCUGUUAAUCUGUUUUUAUCCAUGCAGGAUGCAUUUCCUAGUUUGGAUACCCUUAAAUUGAGCUCACUUCUCAAUUUGAAUAAAGUCUGGGAUGACAAUCAUCAAUCUAUGUGCAACUUGACUAGCUUGAUUGUGGAUAAUUGUGUUGGAUUGAAGUAUUUAUUUCCCUCUACUUUGGUUAAAAGUUUUAUGAACCUCAAACACCUUGAAAUAAGUAAUUGUCCUAUGAUGGAGGAGAUAAUAGCUAAAAAGGAGAGAAAUAAUGCAUUAAAAGAGGUAUGGUAAUUCUGUUAUUGAAAACUUACAAUUAUUUUAAACUUGUACUGAUGGUGGUUAUUCAUGAAUUGAUAGGUUCAUUUAUUGAAAUUAGAGAAAAUUAUACUGAAGGAUAUGGACAACUUGAAGUCAAUAUGGCACCACCAAUUUGAAACAUUGAAGAUGUUGGAAGUGAACAAUUGUAAGAAAAUUGUGGUGGUUUUUCCUUCUUCAAUGCAAAACACAUAUAAUGAGCUAGAGAAGUUGGAGGUCACAAACUGUGCUUUAGUUGAAGAGAUAUUCGAAUUGAAUUUCAAUGAAAAUAACAGUGAAGAGGUUAUGACACAAUUGAAAGAGGUUACUAUAGAUGGACUGUUCAAGUUGAAAAAGAUAUGGAGUGGAGAUCCUCAAGGAAUUCUUAGUUUUCAAAAUCUAAUAUAUGUACUACUAGAUGGUUGUACAAGCUUGGAAUAUCUAUUACCACUCUCCGUAGCCACUCGUUGCUCACAUCUCAAGGAACUUGGUAUAAAAUGGUGUGAAAACAUGAAGGAAAUUGUUGCAGAGGAGAAAGAAUCUAGCUUGAGUGCAGCUCCCAUAUUUGAGUUUAAUCAACUAAGUACUUUAUUACUUUGGCACUCACCUAAACUCAAUGGUUUCUAUGCUGGAAAUCACACUCUGCUAUGUCCAUCUUUGAGGAAUAUUGGUGUCUCUAGAUGUACAAAGUUGAAAUUGUUCAGAACUCUAUCCAAUUUUCAAGAUGACAAACACUCUGUUUCAACGAAACAACCACUUUUUAUUGCCGAACAGGUAUGCAUAUCAUAUAAAUUUAUAUAUCAUAAUGACUCUGAUUCAUUCAGCUCUAACAGUCAUUGUCUAUUUACAUGUCUGGUAAUUAAAGUAUAAAAACAAAAAUGAAAUCUCUAAAAAAAUUAUAAAAUAUGUAUUUUUAAAUAUUUUUAAAAACGCCAUAUAAUCAAUUGAGAGCAAAAUAUUUUGAACUAUUAAUAUCAAAUGUUAUUAAAAUAUUUUACUUCAUAGAUGUGCUUUAUAAUUUCUAUAACAAAAAUAACAACUACUAACAUUGGCCAUUUCUCAAAAGUAUUUGAUAAAUUCUAUAAAAGAUAUAUGUGAGUUUAAAAGAAAUUGAAAAAAGUAGAGUAUUGGCAAAUAUUUUUUUUAAUUAUUUUACAUUGUUGUUCAAAUAUGUUUUAGGUGAUUCCAAACUUGGAAAUGUUGAGGAUGCAACAGACGGAUGCUGACGUGAUAUUGCAAUCUCAAAACUCAAGUGCCCUCCUUAGCAAAAUGACCAUUCUUGGUUUGGCUUGCUAUAACACUGAAGAGGCUACAUUUCCUUAUUGGUUUCUUGAAAAUGUGCAUACUCUUGAGAAACUACAGGUUGAGUGGAGUUGCUUCAAGAAGAUAUUUCAAGAUAAAGGAGAAAUAAGUGAGAAGACUCAUACACAAAUCAAAACACUGAUGUUGAAUGAAUUACCUAAACUUCAACAUAUAUGUGAUGAAGGAUCUCAAAUUGACCCAGUUCUUGAGUUCCUUGAAUACUUAAGGGUUCGUAGUUGUUCUAGUUUGACAAAUUUGAUGCCUUCCUCCGUCACCCUUAAUCAUCUGACGCAGUUGGAGAUAAUAAAAUGCAAUGGGCUAAAAUAUUUAUUCACAACUCCUACUGCACGAAGUCUGGACAAGCUCACAGUGCUGAAGAUAAAAGAUUGUAAUUCACUUGAAGAAGUAGUUAAUGGAGUAGAAAAUGUUGACAUUGCUUUUAUUAGUUUACAAAUUUUGAUGUUGGAAUGUUUGCCAAGCCUCAUCAAAUUUUGCUCUAGUAAGUGUUUCAUGAAGUUUCCGUUGUUGGAGAAAGUAAUUGUGAGGGAAUGUUCUCGUAUGAAGAUUUUUUCUGCUGGAGACACAAGCACACCAAUUCUUCAAAAAGUCAAAAUUGCAGAAAAUGAUUCAGAAUGGCAUUGGAAGGGAAACUUAAACGAUACAAUAUACAACAUGUUUGAAGAUAAGGUAUGUUUAUUUACCACUUUACUGCUUGUGUAACAAUAUUAUGAUUUGGGUUUCUAUUUUCUUUUAUUUUCUUUGGAUGCAUAAUAGUAGAUUUUUAAUUAUCAAUGUUGAAACUCUGGAAAAACAUAAUGGUGAAUAUGGCAACAACAAUAGUGUGAAAAGGGGUGGAAAGGAUGCCCAUUACCAAUUAGCAACCAUGGUGCUUAAAUGUGCUUGGUGAGCCAGGUGUCCAUCCAAAAUUCAGUUGAGCCCAUUAUCUUCCACCAUAUGAAUGUAUCAGUGUAAUUGUUAGUUAAGCAUGUAAUUAGUUUAGAACUAGUUAAGCCAUCUGUAUAUAGUUGGCACCUGAGCUGUCAAGUAACUGACUUGUGUCAGUUAGAGAUAAGUUAACAUGCUAUUGCAGGUAUUCAACAGCUUCGUAUAUAAAAGUUUGUUAGAAAAUUCUCGUUGAGUUUCUCUUAGUUUUACAUGGUAUCAGAUUAAUCUUUGAUCCAUGGCAACCUCUACGAUUCCCACUCUGCCGUCGCCACCGCCAAAAAAUGGUAUGCCGGCAACUCCGAUGGUUAUGCACACUCUUCUGCUCAGUUCCUUCGUAGAGGAAGAUUGAUCAAUGCAUUUUUGCAAUUUCUUUUUAUCCUGCAUUUUAACAUUUUGAAAGCUUUUUAUAUGUUUCUACAUAUUGGGUAUGAUUUGAGGGUUAAUGUAAUAAUUCUUGGAUUAAUCUCUGUAUUUAAUGUGUUCUGACUCAUGUUCAUUGUGUAGGCCAUAACUUCGGUUGAGGUUAUCCAAACUAGGCGUAAGUAUAGGCGUUGGAAAGCUAAGAAAUAGAUCUACAACUAUUAUGUUGAGCAGGAAUCCCAGUUUGGAUGUUCUCUUGAUGAACAAUUAUCAUCUCUGAAUCACUAAAGCUGAUGUGGGAUUUUGGGCCACUUAAUCUUUUGCCAUAAUGGGCCGAUUAGUCCUUUUAGCCCAACAAUUGAUCAAAUUCGGUUUUGCUAAUUAGGUUAAACUUGUAAUGGUAUAAAUAAGGCUGCUAUAGCCGGAACAUGGGGAUCUUUUGGCAGCUGUCAUUUGUUAUUUUCGAUGGAAGCUUAAUCAUGUAGAUCAAUUCACCUGUUAAGGAUUCUGUUUAAUGUCAUGAGGUCUGAAUUCUAAUGUCAAUUCUGUUUCUUAUGAUUUAAUAUCUUUUUACUUUCAAUAUUCUAUUUUUCCAUGAUCAUAUAUGUUUGGACGCUUGUUUCAUUUCAUAUUGAUUCUCAGUGGCGGAUGUUGAUUUAUUUUCUUGGGGGUACCAAACAGUUAUGGAAUAUAUAUUAUAUUAAAAUGAUUCAAUAAAUAGCAGUAGAACUCAAGUGUUCUGGUGGUUUGUAUUGCCGCAAACAUACCUGGCUGGUGCGGGUCGAACAUGCUACCUUCAUCAUAUAGAGGCACCCCCUUACCACUGCAACCACUGAGAAUUUAUUGAAAGUAUGGGCAUAAGGGCAUAAUACUAUAAAUAUAAUAUAGUAAGUUCAGGGGAUGCCAUGGCACCUGCCUGCCCUUGAGAAGAUCCGCCCCUGUUGAUUCUACCGAUUAAAAUUCAUAAUAAGUUCAUGUGUCUGAACGGUAGUUUCAAUAUAAAUCUGGUUAUAUAGAAUUGUUAUCGGGAACUUGCAUAGGACGCUUGAUUUAAAUUAUUUCAAAUGAUGAUUUUUGGGUUCUAUAAUGCUUAGGCGUAGGUUUGGUUGAACAUGUUAUUCAGAUUAGCCGUGAUUUUGUGACGCUUGCUCCAAAAUCACAUUAAAUCAAAUUCUAGAUUUUUUUGACGCUUGCUCCAAAAAUUAGCAGUAGUUCUAAUGAAUUAAUUGAUGCUUAAACGGUUAGUUUUAUAGCUAAAUUAGAGAGAAUAAAUUUAAUACCUGUGAUAGACCCGAAUAGAAUCUAACAAACCAGUGGAUUGAUUGUUUUGCCAAAUAGUUAAUUCUGCCAUUUUGAUCGUCUUUUCCACAAAUAAAACCCCUAAUUUACUUUCUUUUUUCUGUUCUAGUUUGGUUAUUAACAAUACAAAGAUCCCCGAUAAACGAGCAAGGUUUAAUUGCCUUGUACUGUUUUGUGAAUUCGGACUCAAAAUCACAUCAAUACAAACUAUAAUGUGUGGAGCAAAGGAAAGUAGUAACCAACAUCAAAGUAAACACAAGCAAUAACAACACCUAAAUCUAAUCUAGGAAUCAAAUGAAAAGUACAAAACCACAAGCAAAAGAUAAAGAGAGAAGAGAAACAAAUACACCAAAGAUUGUUGACCCAGUUCGGUCCAACUUAACCUACUCUGGGGGAGAGAUUGAUCUCUCCAAUCCACUAUCAAUGAGUUCUUACAAAGAGAUAUAAAUGGGUAACAAGAAAUUAGCUUCAACAAGCUUACAAAAAACAACCCUAAUUUCUAUCCGUUUUCCCAAUCUCACAAAUGAACAAGACACUCAAUGAUUUUCACUACCCCAAGGUGUUUACAAUGUUUCUCAACCUAAGAGAACUCUAAUCAAAGACCCUCAACCCACAAGUUACCUCCUUUGAUUUCCCAAGUUGUCAUCUCUUGAAGCUCUCUUGAACCACACUUCAAUAAAAACACUUAAAUAGCAGUCUUCAGCUGUCAAUAUCGUACGACCCACGGUACGACCAACCUUAUGUCAACGUGUCAAGCAAGCCGAAAAUCGUGACACAUUUUCCCAAAAUCGUAUCACGAUUGAACAAGAACACCCAUCAAAACAUGCUCUCGGCAUUGCCAAAUCGUGACACGCCUAUGAAAUCAUGUCACGAUUUCUCUGUUUCUCCAAACCACAAAUUUGAAGCCAAUAUCAACAUGUACUACUCUUUUUAUAACAAUUAUUUUGACCGCGAAUUACAGUGAUCAAAUUGGCACCGUCGUCGGGGAUCUCCGAUAAGGAUUAUCCAAAUUAAGAACCUUCAGUAACAACUCUUAACAUUUUCUCUCGAGUUUUCAUUGUAUUAGGUUCUGAUGUCGGAUAUUUCAUUUAAGCUAAAAAAAAUAAUUGAUUUCCAAUCAACUACUCCGAUUGCUGCGAAAUUUGGUGAGCAGUUCUAACAGUCAACUACUCCCAUGUUUUCCAAAUACACUCAUCCUUGCAUAUAAUGAUGUUGUUAGGGAAUACGAUGGAAAGACCAAACAUUAGGAUAUAAAAGGCUCAACCCAUACAAAUUUAUUUACAAGACCAAAAGAGUGAUAAAAUAUAUGUAUAUUCUGUUCCUUUUGAGUGUCAUUUUACAUAAAAUGUUUUUUUUAGGGAGGAAACAAAGCAAAUUUUUUGUUCCUUUGUAAUUGUCAUAUCAAAAUUUCAAACUAGCAUUAAAUUUUGUUUUCUUAAUAUUACCUCUUAUUUAUUGCAGAGAGUUAAAUAAGUGAGUUGAGAUGAUAAAUAAUUUAAGGUAAGAUGAAAUUGUUAAUAAAAAGUAGCAAAAUUUAAUAGCUUUAUUGGUUUGUGUAAACAGCCUUAAAACAACAAUUUCUUUUUUUUAUAAAUCUAAAUUAACCCACUCAAUUGGCACCAAAGAGAAUCUAACCUGAGACCUCUCACAUCCCAAGCCAAUGUCACUAGGCCAUAAAACAACAAUUAAAAAUGAACCGAUGGGGUAAUAAUUACUUAAUAGGAAGAUGCACUAGAAAAUCUUAUAAUCUUAGAAUAUGUACGAUAAAUAAUUUGAUAGUCUGUUGCAUAGGUAAAUCAUUCUAUUUUUUGAUGAAUAAUAAAUUUGUAAAUCUUAUAUUUGUGUACCUCGUAUUUUUUUCGAACAUUAUAUGUCAUCAAAACAAAAUAAAAUGAACACAAGACCUAACCAAAGAAAACUAGAGUGCACAAUUCUCUUUAUUCAUUUCUACUUUACUUCAGCUAUGUAUUAAAGUUUAUUCAAGAAUAUUUAUUACAGCCCCUAAAAACGAAUGUUUAUUACAAGUUACAACAUAUUAAAAAUCGAAGUUAAAUGCUAAGUAACUUUUAUUUAUAGAAUUUUAUCACUCCUGACAUAGUUGAGAUAACUCCAAGCAAUAUGAAAUUUAGAAAAUUCAGAGCUCAUGCUCAAUUUCUUAAAUUCGUUUUCGGUUCUUUCCUUUCCAUAUUGUAUUAAAAACAUGAGAUUCUCAAUAGCAUAAGAAUGCUUAGACAUAUUGCUUAGGUUUGGAGCCUUUGGAAUUACAUAAUCCAAAACAGUCUCCUUUUCGUAUUUUGGCAAAGCUUAGUAACAAUUUCUUAAAAAUUUCACACAUUCUUUAUUUGCCCAAUUGAUACCUUUUUAUACCAAUUGAUACCUUUUAUUGAAGGACUAGAUCAUCGACAUGUGCAAUGCACGCGUCUUUUAAAAUGUACUACCUUCCAACUCUUUUUUUUUUACUUUAUGAUAUCACCCAUGCAAUGAAUGGGGUGAGCUAUAUGAGAUUAUGAUAUAUAUAUUUUUACAUAACUAUAAACAAUGUGUCUGAUUUUUAGUUUGACGGUCUAAUUACCAUUAAUGUAGUAAAUCUACUCUACUAGUUUCUUAACAUGUUUGACGCAUGAAGUGCAUGUGACGAUUGAAACAUGUAUUAUUUAUUAGAAAAUAAUAAAAUUAUUUUUUGUAAAAAUAUCAUAAUCUCAUAUAAGGUAAACCAUUUAAAAAAAAAAAAACAAAAUCAAGACUCGUUCACGUUGCUCCUUUACAACACAAUCUUAAACAUCUUUGUGUUCCGUCAUCAUCAAACUAUGAAACUUCUAUGCCCUAAGCUCAUCCCUUUCCAUCUGACUUGGUAGAUGGAUUAUUAGCAUCUUUCAAGCACUCCUAUACAAAAUGAUAAAUUUAAAAUUAAAACAAACAUUGAAUUUUCUCUGUGCGUGUGAUGGACACAAACAUCCAACAUAGCCUAAAGGCAAAGUUGAUUUAUUCUAGAACAGUUAUAUCUUCAUGUGAUUCUAUAAGAAAGUUAAAACCAAAAGUAUCAUACUUUGGGGACCUUCAAACUAUUUUCUUUAAAAGUUAAGGAAAAUGUAGAUCAAAAUCAGAUAGAAUCAUAUAAAACAUAUUAAAUAAGUACAAAUUAGUUACAAACCCGUGCUUCGCACGGGUUGAAUAACAUAUCUUGUAAAAAAAAUUAUUCCAAAGGAAAAAUGAUCAAAUUAAUGAAUAUUGUACAAACUCGGAUAUUCUAAAAAAUCACUUUUACUGAAAUUUUAAAAAACUUUGUUAUAAAGGAGAAAUGAGCAAAUUAAGGGAAAAAGCUGCAUUUUUUUAUGAAAUUGUUGUCGUUCAUAAAUGUGAAAAUCAAGCAAGCAUAUUGCACAAAUCUCAGCUAUAUGUACAUUUUUAAAACAUUUACCAAAGCAUUAUAAAGAUUUGCUGUAGGAAAAUAGCAUGUUCUAUUUGGUUCAAGAGAUUAGGAAAACAACAUUAUAAUUAACAUGAUACUAAUUGGAACCAAUGAAGCAACCAACAAUGUGCAGAUUAACGUUAUAUAAUAGUCAGGUUUAUAAAAGAGACUGCAAGUGUCAUAGACUAACCAAAAAUGGAUUUUUGCCAAUAUUUACAUCAGACAAAAUGAAAAGAACAAAUGACAUUCCAAAGUCAAGAUAGGUUACGAUUACAGUCCAAAGGGAUACGCCAAAAUAGUAGAAGUUCAAAUAGUUUAACAGCAAAGAUAUAUUUUGGAACAGCUCGAACGUGCAAGUUCUUCGAUAACUUUUCGAGAUCAAAGAUGAGUUUACCACCUUCUUCCAUCACACGUUCUCUGCAGAAAUUAAACCACUGCGCCCCUAGUAUUUUUCAUAGCUUGCUCUUUCGGAGGUAAUGAGGCGACACUUAUACUUUCUCUGUGUCUGGUCAUCAAUGAGAGUGAUUUUUUGCGCUUUUCUUUCAGAAUUGUUCUUAAUACCUUGUUUGGGAAAUGCUAAAGGGAGAUAACUGCAAUAUUAGUCUAAUGCAUAUUAACAUGGAUAAGAUGUAUGUUAAUAUAGUUACAUAUAAUUUAUAAAAUGAAGGUAGCAUAACUGAUUUUAAGUUAAAGAAAAUGUACCAUGACUUCUAAUGUAUCGUCCUAUUAUAUUCCUAUAAAAUCUAGAUAAAUGCAUGCAUGUGGAUUAUAUGUACCUCGUUGGCCAAUUAACAUUGUUGAAACAAAUGGAAAUUAAGCAUCACUCCUGCAUGCGCAUUUAUAGCUAACACCAUUUUACAUUGAUGUCUUCGAACAUUUGGUGCAACUCUCAUGAUACCAUCCAAACUGGUUAGGAUUGAAUUUAGUUGUUUUCCAAAUAGUGAUGCAAUAUGUAUCCUAACACAAAUUAUACACAUGAAAUAAAGAAUAAUGCAAUAUGUAUUUUUAAUUUGUGCAUAAAAAACUUAAAGCAUGUUUGUGCAUAAAAAAUAAAAUUAAAAAAAAGCAGACCUUGACUAAGUUUAUAAAUUCAACAAUUGGCCUAACUUGAGACAGAUUGGAAAAAUCGUUGUACGAAGUACGUUGAGAAGAAGCCGAACUCUAACUUAAGUUCUGACUGUAGCUUUGACUCUGAGCUUGAGAAGUGUUAAGGUCACGAUAACAAUUCAAGAAACAUGGUCAAAAAAUAAUCAAAUCAGAUUGUGAAAUAAUAAGUUACUCUAACACUGUAUUGUGAAAUCAUAAUGCAAACUUACUAAGUCUUAAACUUCUCAACAACCGGAUGAUGUAGGUUGAUGAGCAACCUCAAACCUGACUAAUUGUUACAUAUAUUUGGGUUGCCGUUGACUAUAAAAUGGAAGCAAAGAACUCAAGGUAAAUAGAUGGUAAAUGAUAAAGUUACGAAGUAUUUUUCCCAUAGUGUUGCAUUAGCCAUAUUCCCACUACAUAAGGAAAUACAUCUUUCAGGUCAUUAUCAAACUUAUACAAAAUCCUAUCAUUUGAUGCUGACAAAUUAGAAAAUAAUACCUUUUAUUUUUCAACACAAUGUUCGUACACGGUUUCUUUCCAGUCCCAAUUGACGUUGUCUUGACAAUCUCAUGAAGAAGCCCGAUGAUUUCUUAAAAAGAAAAUUACAUCUAUAAGAACAUUAUAGUCGGUGAAAACAUAGAAAUAAAUGAAAGCACAUAAUUAUACCAUAUAAAACGUCAGUUUUGAAUUUUCCAUCUUGAAUUUCCUUAAAUGACUUAAAGCGAAAUUCAUGAGUAAGAACGUUGGUUUACUUGUCAUACUUCUGCACCUUUGUACCAGAAUCAAAAACAACUUUAAAGGGAUUAAAUGCAAUGUCAUUAUCAAGCACAUGACAUUUAUAGAAAGUAUAAGUCUUGUUUUCCUCGAUCAAAGCCUUCCAAUGCUCCAAUUCUCUAUAUCGAGUUAUUACAUGAACUCGAUCACCCUAAAUCCGAGAAAGAAACCAAAAAAUAUAAAUAAAUCAAAAUGUACACUAAUAAGUAACAUUGAUAAAUCAUAAAGGAAAUUACAACAAAUCUUAAAUAACUCAUCUAACUUUUGCAUCACAAAUAAUGAGCUUCAUGCGUUGAUUCUCAUUACUACCAGUCACAAUCCAAGAAUCCAACACUCCAAAUCCUAUUUUUCAAAUGUCCAAAUCAUUUUUGAGAUCCUUAAUGUAGUCAUAAUCCCUUGACAUUGAAAGUCCUAUAUGAAAAUACAAUAAUACAUCAUUUAAUUUUAUUCCCUUUGUUCAUUCUCAUAUCGAAAGAAGCUAACAUAUUUUUAUGUGACCAAAUUUUCUAUCAUCAAAUCAACCUAAUCUUAAAUGCACAAAUUUCUGUAUCAUCAACUUUCUGGACUUCAAUGUGUUGGAACAAAAUGUGUUUCACAAUGAACCUUAUUAAGUUUUGAUGAUAACAAGGUAUUAAAAAUUGUCAAUUGGUUAUUACUAAUAAUUGUUCAAGUGUACAGGACCAAAGGCUACUCAAGUUAUUUCAAUAGGUCUUGGAAGAACAAUGCAAAGAAAAAGAAAAUUCUGAGCAUCUGAAGAAAAACUGCUCCUGAAGCUGAAGUGCUUCUGAAAUGAUGACGUUCACAAAAACAAAAAGUCCUCCAAACCAAAAAUUUUUAAUCAAAACCAAUACCCUUCCCCAAAACCUACCGUUUGAUCCUUUAAACCAAACUAAAAAUCCAAGUACUCGAUUCUCAAUUCCCUCCUUAUCCUUAUACUAACCAAAAACCUAUCCGGUGCGUUUUUUUGUUUAUCCUCGGAUCACCCUCCGUCACCGAUGGCCCUCCUCAUGUUCAACCCACAUUCAAACUCACAUCUAAAUUAGUACACCAUUAUCAUCCUUUAAACAAUCUUCUCCAUAAAGAACAAAUUCAUUAUCAAUUAUAUAAAAUCACUACUAUUCUACCUAUUACAUGACUCAUUAUAUUAUCUUUGAAAUCCUAUUAACACCUUACCUUACCCUUUCCAUUAAAAAUUAUUAUCAUUCAAGAACAUUACCUCUUAAUGCCUACUUACCAUUAUCGAUCUUUUCCGAAAUUAAAUUCAUUCUCACGCUAUAUUCUUUUCGUUAGUGCUUGGAUUUAAUUAAUUUGCUUCUCCUCUCUUUACAUCUCUCUUUAUCAUAUUAUCCUCUAUCCAACAAAGAUUCAACAUCCCCAGAUACUUUCUAAUCACCAUUAUUACUUCAUCUUACAAAACUUAUGACCAUGCCAUCCAUGCCAUCACAACCUCCCAUCCACUAUCAACUANNNNNNNNNNNNNNNNNNNNNNNNNNNNNNNNNNNNNNNNNNNNNNNNNNNNNNNNNNNNNNNNNNNNNNNNNNNNNNNNNNNNNNNNNNNNNNNNNNNNUAUAUAUAUAUAUAUAUAUAUAUAUAUAUAUAUAUAUGUACACUAUGAAGAGAUUAGCUGAAACUUAAUUUGUACCCACUUUGUAAAUUUGUACUCGCAUUAUUUAUUAUUAUUUAUCUGUUCUCUUUCACUAAUAACUCGUAAAAUCCUUCAAUAUUUUGCAAAUUGUGAGUGUAGUUUGUUUUGAUAUUUUUUUGUUGUUUGCAGAUCAUUUAGUUUCUUCUUUUUGAAACCAUUUUGAAUAAGUUUUGUAGAUCACACCAUCAAAAGCACCAGUUGUUACGUUGAUUCAUAAUCUAGCCUAAUGAUCUUUCCUUUUUGUAAUUUAAUCAGAUAUUAUAACAAACUAAUAAUCAGAUAUUCUUGACGCGUAAUUGUGAUGAUUAAUCCUUUGAGUUUUGUAGGACCCAAAUUGUCAAGAAACUGUCCCUAACGUCAACCGUUGAUCUAAUUAAUUUUUUUUUUUUUGAUAGAGGGUUUGGCUACCUCUCAAAUAGGUGACUUUAGAAAUCAAACAUAGUUCUUUUGCUCGAGAUAAACAUGUUGCCAACUCUCCCACCAUGUUGGUUAAACUCGAUUCCUUGGCUAAGCCUCUUGGAUUAAUUCAGAAAUUUUAAUUUUACAUGUUUUUUUUAUAUUUUAUAUCUUUAACUUUUUGGUUGAAGUUUAUAUCUUUAACUUUUCUCUUGAGCUCUAAAAUGAAUUAUAUUUAUCUCUCAAAAACAAAAUGCCUAGGACAAAAAAUAUUGAGUUCAGAGUAAAACAACGGAACUUAAUUAUGGAAGAACCCAAAAACUAUACUUUUAGAACUUGAACGGAUGAAAUCAUUUUAUUUAUGGAGAUUAGAACUAAAUUCAGUCUUUUUAUAGAGAUAGAAUUAUAUUUAAAAAUUUUAUAAAAAAUUCAGUCUUAAAUUUUUUAUUGGUUACACAUGAUUGUAAUGAAAUUCAAUUCGCACAGUCUAUCAAUAUUAUUGGAUUUUAUUGUCUAUAUUUUUCUAAUUCUAACCAAAGUGUGUUCUAUUAUUAAUUGCUGUUUUCCAUCGGAAAAAAGAGUAAUGCGUUAAUGUCCUCACAUUUCCAAAUGUUGCCCUUAUUUCUUCUGCCUCAUCCAUAAAUGGUAUCUUUUACUUUCACUUUCAGAUUUUGACUCAAGUCACAAAGAAGAGGAGAAGAAAAUAAAAUCAAUGGAAAUUUUAACUUCUGUUGUUGGAAAAAUAACAGAAUAUACCAUUGUGCCUAUUGGACGUCAAGCAAGUUACUUGAUAUUCUACAAAGGCAACUUCAAGAAGUUAAAGGAUCAUGUUGAAAACCUUCAGGCUGCAAGAGAAAGAAUGCUCCAUUCGGUUGAAAGAGAAAGGAGAAAUGGUAGAGAAAUUGAAAAAGAUGUUCUGAAUUGGUUGGAGAAAGUGAACGAGGUCAUUGAAAAUGCAAAUCGGCUUCAAAACGAUCCUCGUCGUCCCAAUGUUAGGUGCUCAGCAUGGUCAUUCCCCAACUUGAUUUUACGUCAUCAACUAAGUAGGAAAGCUACAAAAAUUACAAACGAUGUUGAUCAAGUUCAAAGAAAGGUAGGUUUUUAAUCAAAUUGGCUACCUUCCCCCUCUAGAUGUAGGAGCCUCCUCCUCCUCAACAAGAGAUGGUGAAAAGUAUGACACAAGGGAGUUGCUUAAGGAGGACAUUGUGAAGGCUUUAGCAGAUCCCACUUCACGCAACAUUGGGGUCUAUGGGUUAGGUGGGGUGGGGAAGACCACUCUGGUGCAGAAAGUUGCUGAGACAGCCAAUGAACAUAAAUUGUUUGAUAAAGUGGUUAUCACAGAAGUAUCGAAAAAUCCAGACAUUAAAAAAAUUCAAGGGGAGAUUGCAGAUUUCUUGAGUCUGCGAUUUGAAGAGGAGAGUAAUCGUGGCAGAGCAGAACGCCUUAGACAAAGAAUCAAGAUGGAGAAAAGUAUCCUUAUCAUUCUAGAUAACAUAUGGACCAUACUUGAUUUGAAAACAGUGGGGAUUCCAUUUGGUAAUGAACAUAAUGGUUGCAAGUUGUUGAUGUCAUGCAGAAGUCAAGAAGUGUUGUCGCAAAUGGAUGUUCCAAAAGAUUUCACUUUCAAAGUUGAACUUAUGAGUGAAAACGAGACAUGGAGCUUGUUUCAAUUUAUGGCAGGGGAUGUGGUUAAAGAUAGCAAUUUGAAAGAUCUACCAUUUCAAGUGGCCCAAAAAUGUGCAGGUUUGCCUCUUAGGGUAGUGACAGUAGCGCGUGCAAUGAAAAAUAAGAGGGAUGUUGAAUCUUGGAAAGAUGCAUUAAGGAAAUUACAAAGUAAUGAUCAUACAGAGAUGGAGCCUGGAACUUAUUCUGCUUUGGAAUUGAGUUACAACUCAUUGGAGAGUGAUGAAAUGAGGGCUCUCUUCUUGCUUUUUGCAUUACUGUUACGUGAAAACGUAGAGUACUUUCUCAAAGUUGCAAUAGGGUUGGACAUAUUGAAGCAUGUUAAUGCCAUAGAUUAUGCAAGAAACAGACUUUACUCAAUAAUCAAAUCUUUGGAGGCGAGAUGUCUUUUGCUUGAAGUUAAAACAGACAGAAAUAUCCAAAUGCAUGACUUUGUUCGUGAUUUUGCUAUCUCCAUAGCACGUAGGGAUAAACAUGUACUUCUAAGAGAACAAUCUGAUGAGGAAUGGCCAACCAAGGACUUUUUUAAAAGGUGCACACAGAUUGCUCUGAAUAGGUGUGAUAUGCACGAGCUUCCUCAAACGAUUGAUUGUCCAAACAUUAAGCUUUUCUAUUUGAUUAGUAAGAAUCAAUCUUUGAAAAUCCCCGAUACUUUUUUUAAGGGUAUGAGAAGCCUUAGAGCGCUAGAUUUAACAUGCUUGAAGUUGUUAACAUUACCCACAUCAUUUCGGUUACUAACAGAACUUCAAACAUUGUGUUUGGAUUUUUGUAUUUUGGAAAAUAUGGAUGCAAUAGAAGCUUUGCAAAAUUUAAAAAUUCUCAGACUCUGGAAUUCUUCAAUGAUCAAGUUGCCAAGAGAAAUAGAGAAAUUGACUCAAUUGAGAAUGCUUGAUUUGAGCCAUUCAGGAAUAGAAGUGGUCCCACCCAACAUCAUAUCAAGUUUGUCUAAAUUGGAGGAGUUGUACAUGGAAAAUACAUCAAUAAAUUGGGAAGAUGUGAAUUCAACGGUUCAAAAUGAAAAUGCUAGUCUUGCCGAGCUUCAAAAACUACCCAAAUUGACAGCUCUAGAAUUACAAAUUCGUGAGACUUGGAUGUUGCCAAGGGACUUGCAAUUGGUGUUUGAGAAGCUGGAAAGAUAUAAAAUAGCUAUUGGAGAUGUAUGGGACUGGUCUGACAUUGAGGAUGGAACCUUAAAAACAUUGAUGCUCAAACUUGGUACAAACAUACAUUUGGAGCAUGGAAUUAAAGCAUUGAUUGAAGAUGUUGAGAAUUUGUAUUUGGAUGAUGUAGAUGGAAUUCAAAAUGUGCUUCCUAACCUAAAUAGAGAAGGAUUUACAUUGCUGAAACAUCUCCACGUCCAAAAUAAUACUAACUUGAAUCACAUUGUUGAAAAUAAAGAGAGAAAUCAAAUCCAUGCGUCCUUUCCCAUCUUGGAAACACUAGUACUUCUUAAUCUUAAAAAUUUGGAGCAUAUUUUUCAUGGUCAACCUUCAAUUGCUUCUUUUGGAAAACUCAGUGUUAUCAAAGUCAAAAACUGCGUCCAAUUAAAAUAUAUAUUCUCAUAUCCAGUGGUUAAAGAACUUUACCACAUUUCUAAGAUUAAAGUUUGUGAGUGCAAUUCUAUGAAGGAAGUAGUGUUCGGAGACAACAAUUCAAGUGCAAAAAAUGAUAUCAUUGAUGAAAAAAUUGAGUUUCUUCAAUUGCGUUUUUUGACUUUAGAACAUUUGGAGACACUUGAUAAUUUCGCCUCUGAUUAUUUGACGCAUCUUAGAAGUAAGGAAAAGUAUCAAGGUGUAGAGCCUUAUGCUUGUACUACACCGUUUUUCAAUGCUCAGGUAUGCUAUUUUGUUUUUAGCUUCUUUAGAUACAAAUGAUAUAAUUUUUAAUUUUGUGAUAUGUACAAACAGAUUGAUUCAUGAAUAAACUGGUACGUUUAGUGAAGAUUUUUUUUUUUUUGAGUAAAUGAACAAGAUUAAUAUUUUCUGUUCAAAACACUAUAAUGCUUAUUUUUUCCCACAAAACUACAACAGAUGUGAUAAUAAAAGUCAUUUUAAAAAUUUUAAGUAUACUAUUAGUUAAAAAUUAGUUUUUAUUCUUAAAAAAUAUAUUUAAAUAGACUUCAUACUGUUUCAUAGUUUUUACUUUUUAAUUAUACUAUUAGUUAUACGUUGUUUCAAUGUUUCAUAUUAUAAGAGUAAUGAUUUCUGCUAAUUUGUUUUUAUGUAGGUCGCAUUUCCUAAUUUGGAUACCCUUAAAUUGAGCUCACUUCUCAAUUUGAAUAAAAUUUGGGAUGUCAAUCAUCAAUCAAUGUGCAACUUGACUAGCUUGAUUGUGGAUAAUUGUGUUGGAUUGAAGUAUUUAUUUCCCUCUACUUUGGUUGAAAGUUUUUUGAAUCUCAAAUACCUUGAGAUAAGUAAUUGUCUUAUAAUGGAGGAUAUAAUAACUAAAGAAGAUAGAAAUAAUGCAGUAAAAGAGGUAUGGUAAUUCUAUUAUUGAAAACAUCCAAUUUUUUAAAAUUGUAAUUUAUAUAAUUAUUUAUACUGAUGGUGGUUAUUCAUGAUUUAGGUUCAUUUUUUGAAAUUAGAGAAAAUCAUAUUGAAGGAUAUGGACAGCUUGAAGACAAUAUGGCAUCAGCAAUUUGAAACAUCGAAGAUGUUGAAAGUGAACAAUUGUAAGAAAAUUGUGGUUGUUUUUCCUUCUUCAAUGCAAAACACAUACAAUGAGCUAGAGAAGUUGGAGGUUAGAAAUUGUGAUUUAGUUGAAGAGAUAUUUGAAUUGAAUUUGAAUGAAAAUAACAGCGAAGAGGUUAUGACACAAUUGAAAGAGGUUACUCUAGAUGGACUGUUGAAGUUGAAAAAGAUAUGGAGUGAAGAUCCUCAAGGAAUUCUUAGUUUUCAAAAUCUAAUAAAUGUACAAGUAGUUGGUUGUUCAAGCUUGGAGUAUUCAUUACCAUUCUCCAUAGCCACUCGUUGCUCACAUCUCAAGGAACUUUGUAUAAAAUCUUGUUGGAAAAUGAAGGAAAUUGUUGCAGAGGAGAAAGAAUCUAGUGUGAAUGCAGCUCCGGUAUUUGAAUUUAAUCAACUAAGUACUUUAUUGCUUUGGCACUCACCUAAACUCAAUGGUUUCUAUGCUGGAAAUCAUACUCUGCUAUGUCCAUCUUUGAGGAAAGUUGAUGUUUACAAUUGUACAAAGUUGAAUUUGUUUAGAACUCAUUCUACAAGAAGCUCCAAUUUUGGAGAUGACAAACACUCUGUUUUAAAGCAACAACCACUUUUCAUUGCUGAAGAGGUAUGCAUAUCAAUAUAAUAAAUGUAGGACUUGUUUUUUGUUUUUCUCUACAGUAAGGAAUUAGUGUUAUUCUUUUGAAAUACCAAACAAUAAUUAUUAUACUUGUAUUCAAUUGAAUAAUUCUGAUUCAUUCAACUUUUACAAUUGAAUUAGAUGGCGUGUAAAAGUAUUUGACAAUUUCUUGAGGAAAAAAUUGAAAAAGUACAGAGGUAUUGGCAAAAAUUAAAAAGACAAAAUUUUAGGUGAUUAUUGUUUAAAUAUGUUUUAGGUGAUUCCAAACUUGGAGUUUUUGAGGAUGGAACAGGCGGAUGCUGACAUGCUAUUGCAAACUAAAAACUCAUGUGCCCUCUUUUGCAAAAUGACCUAUCUUGGAUUGGCUGGCUAUAACACCGAAGAUGCUAGAUUUCCUUAUUGGUUUCUUGAAAAUGUGCAUACUCUUGAGUCACUAUAUGUUGGGGGGAGUCAAUUCAAGAAGAUUUUCCAAGAUAAAGGAGAAAUAAGUGAGAAGACUCAUCUACAUAUAAAAAGCCUGACAUUGAAUCACUUACCUAAACUUCAACAUAUAUGUGAGGAAGGAUCUCAAAUUGACCCAGUUCUUGAGUUCCUUGAAUGCUUAAAUGUUGAAAACUGUUCUAGUUUGAUAAAUUUGAUGCCUUCCUCUGUCACCCUUAAUCAUCUCACAAAGUUAGAGGUAAUAAGAUGCAAUGGGCUAAAAUAUUUGAUCACAACUCCUACUGCACGAAGUUUGGACAAGCUCACUGUGCUGAAGAUAAAAGAUUGUAAUUCACUUGAAGAAGUAGUUAAUGGAGUAGAAAAUGUUGACAUUGCUUUUAUUAGUUUACAAAUUUUGAUGUUGGAAUGUUUGCCAAGCCUCGUCAAGUUUUGCUCUAGUGAGUGUUUCAUGAAGUUUCCGUUGUUGGAGAAAGUAAUUGUGGGGGAAUGUCCUCGCAUGAAGAUUUUCUCUGCCAAAGACACAAGCACACCAAUUCUUCGAAAAGUUAAAAUUGCACAAAAUGAUUCAGAAUGGCAUUGGAAAGGAAACUUAAACGAUACAAUAUACAACAUGUUUGAAGAUAAGGUAUGUUUAUUCAUAAUGGCAUUUGGGUUUCUAUUUUCUCUUGUUUUCUUUGGAUGCAUAGUAGUUGAUUUUUAAUUUACAUAAUAGUUGAACUUUGUGGAAAAACAACUAUUUGGAGACUUUGAAAGUACUUCGCAAUAUACUCUUAAAAAAAGUUAAAGAGAUACAUAGUGUCAAAAGAAAGAAAGUCAUAUUUGAUAAAAAGAAGAAAAAAAAUCAUAGAAAUGGACCCUGAGGUUGUAACAAAGACUUCAAAAUUCAAAGAGUUUGUAGUCAUGUUUUAUAAACAAUUAUAAUAAUAUAAAUAUAUGCCGUUAAAAAAAUAGUAAUUUUGAUUUUUUUAGGGUAGUAAUUUUGAUUUGUCUCUUCAUAUAUAGUCCUUAUAAUUAACCAGCUUAGUGAGUGCUGCUAGCCAUGGAGUGCUUUGUCGUGACUUUAUAACGACUUUCAUAUUUCGACAUAUAUAAAACACAUGUAGUUUCAUAACCAUUUUUUAAGAUGAUUUUCUAAAGUACAACUCUACUAUAAAAAAAUACAAGGUAUCCAGUACGUGUAAAUAUUUUAUUAUUUUUUUUAUAAAAAAAAUAAAUAUAUAAAUGUCGAAUGGAUGUUUUGGCAAAAAUUUGUUUGAUUUUACUCCAAUUAAUGCUUACAUUUAAAUGUUUAUUUUGUAUAGGUCCAAUUUAAACAUUCUUUAUUGUUGGAGAAAUAUACUGAUAAAAAUUGAACUUUUUUCUCACUAUAUCACCUGUGUGUGUGGAAAUGAUGAAAAGAAUAAUUUUGAUUUUACAAGAGAUGAAAAAAUUGAUUUAUAUUUUAAUGGAGAUGAAUAAUUUGAUCUUAACCUCGAAGGCGAGUGGAAAAUAGAUUGAUUUAAUUUUUAAUGAAGAUGAAUAAUUGGAGGAGAAUAAGAAAUGUUAACCUUAUAAUUUUCAAAUGUUAGCGCAAUAAAAAUAGCGCUUGUCAGACUACCUUGAGAACCAGCAGACUUCUUUGAGGAAUGAUGCUGAUGUUGUUGAUGAAAGUGUGUUAGCGCAAUAGUUGACAAAAUCUAACUAAUUUUCAUGAAAAUAUAAAUUUUAUAAAAAAAUAUGAUAAUUUAUACGUGUUAGUGCAAUAGAAAGAACUGAUAAACGGUUAAAAAAAAAUAUCAGCGUUAGCCCGUCCAAUGCUAGUAUAUAUAAAGCACGUCAACUGUCCUCGUGAGCUUAGCUCGGUUGGUUUGAACAAUGCAUAAAAUAUGCAAGAUUUGGAGUUCAAACUAGACUACCAUAUAAAAAAAAAAAAAGCACGUCAAUUGAAAGGCAAAUUAGCGUUUAGAUAAAUAUAAUGAUAAUUUAAAUUAUCAUUUUGGAAAAAAAGAUCUACGUGGUUAUUUAUAAAACAAAACACCAUAGAAGUAGUUUAAUACGUGAACUUAUAACUACUAACGCUUAAUAAUGUUUAGAAACUAAAAGUCGUAUUAUAGGUGAUUGCAGCAUUAGCUACAAAGAAUCUACUCAAUAACUACCAACUACUAAUAUUUCUUUUGACUUUUUUUUUUUGUCCGGCAAAAAUUAUUAUGCAUAAGUCAUUUCCUUAUGCACCCUGUAUAAACACUUCACAAAACCAUUAGACAAUUAUUUUGGUUUCUCAUAUAAGACUAUCAAAACCAUUAAACCAUAAUUAUCAGGAACAAACAAAUCAUAAAGAUUUUUAUCUUUAUUUUCUGUUAUCAUUUGAUCAACACGACUUUUUUUCUUUUUUCAACUCCAACUUUUUCGCCUCUUACUCUUAUGAAUCAAUGGUAGUCUUAUGGUUUGAUAUAGAAGAGAUUGUUCAUGCUUUUUUGUAGGCAGGCGAAUAGGUUCAAUAAAAAAUAUGCUUUUUUGUAGGCAGACGAAUAGGUUCAAUAAAAAAUAUUAGCCUUUCCUUCAAGUCCUCAGUGUCCCUACAUUUUGUAUAACAAAAAUCCUUCGUAAUUGAAUCAACCAGCAUUUCUAUAUCUAGCUCUAGCUUUUUAAUCGACAUUAUUACAAUUUUUUAAAAUUUUUUCAUUCUAAGCAGGAGACAAAAUAAGUUGGUAUUAUCCAUUCCUAUUUCUUCGUCGGAACUAUCACAGUGCAAAUAAAAACCCAAAUAUUUUGAUAGUAAGAAAUCAUGUUCUCCCUUUAGAUCGGUCCUGUAUUUAGAAUCUGAUCCUUUAUAAUAGUAUGAGCCAGAUUUAAGAUCUUCAUCUACUGUAUUCACGUAUUCUUCUGUUGUUAACUCUAAAUUAUCAAGCUGCAAAACAAAGAAUUUUAUUGGUAAGAUCCAAGGAUUCAUCUUAUAUGCACAAUAAAAUUUGCUUAAUUUUGAAAAGAACCAAAAUCCGGGAAUAAGGAAGUUAUUCUUCGGUAUAGAAGUCUUUUUCCUUUUUACAUUCAUUCCCAUCCAAUUGAAAUACUUUCUAUCCGGAUUUUUUUCUAGAUUUUUUUCCAUAUCUAGAAUAUCAUAUUCUUCUAGAUAAUUUUGGAUAGAGAUAACGCCUAUUAUAUCCAAAAAUUCUUUUCUACAUAGGUUGUAAUUAUAAGAAAUUUUUGUUUCCUUGCGGUGAUCUAUAUCCAUAAAUAUAGGAUUUUUUCUUAUCCGCAAAAUGAAUAUAUUGAUAGGAGAAAAGAUCAUAUCUAUAUUGUUUUUUAAUUUUGUUUUUAAUUUCUAUUUUUAAUAAGUCUCCUUCUUGUUCUUGUUUUUUGGAAAGAAUUAAUUGAUUUUUUUCAAAUGAAUCAUAUUCAACUAAAUCUUUAUUUUGAGCCACACGAUGUUCAUUGAUUUUAUUCCUCCAGUUUUGUGAUACUCAUCUCGACCAUCUGUUCUCAGGUAAAUCAUAUUGAUAAAGAACCUUUAACCAAUUUGUCCAUUGAUUCAUUAACGAAUCGGGACGUUUCUUAUGUCUUAAUUUGGAAUUAUAUGUUCCUUGUAUUCUAAAAAAAAUAAUCCUUUAUUUCAUUCUUAAGAAAAAAAGAUCUUUCAGGAGAUUCAAAAAUAGAUCUUAACUUAAAUUUAUAUCCAUUACUAACUUGGAUUUGUGAUAAUUUAUAAAAUACAUAUGCUUGUGACAAAGAAGAUACAUCCAAGAAUUCCGUGAAUUCAUAUUCGUAAUAUUCCCAGAUUUGUCUAUAAUCGACAUAAAUGGAAUUAUACUUUGAUUUUCAAUUCUUUUUGCAUUUUUUUUUGUAGUAAAUGGAUUUUUUUACAUUUAGUAUUUUGUCUAUUGAUUCAAGAAAAUAAAAAAAAACGUUGUCGAUGGAUCCUAGCAAUACUACUGAUACGUAAAAGGAUAUCUAUGUAUAUCCCUUCUAUGAAAAUUUUGAAAAAAGAAUAGGAUUUACGUAUUAAUCGAACAAAUCUUCUUUUUAAGAUUUGCAAAAUAUUUUUUUGUAAUUCUAAUCUUUUAGCAUAAGUAGUUUUGUUCGAAUUCAAAUUGAUCUCUGAAGUUAGAAUCCCCUUUUUUUUUUUUUCUUCUGUCAUUGUUUCUAUUUGUUUUAUGAUUGUCUUUGUUUUAACAUUAAGAUCUUCUAUCCUUUUUUCUGUGAAUGAAGAAUUUGUUCAAUUAAUAGAUUCCAUUUUAACAGGUGAUUCCUCAAUCACCUCAAUCUUUAAAUUAUUCUUGCUAAUUGUUGAAGUUUUUUUUUCUUUCACUCAGUUCAUCUAUUGUUUUGAACCUAAAUAGAAUACUUUUAAGUUUUGAUGUUUCAGUUUUCUAUUUUUUUUAACAUAGUUCGAAACCAUUUUUUUCUUUCAUUUAAAAAUUUUAGAACUAGAAAAAAACGCUUUUUCAAAUCUUUUUUCAUUCAUAUCCUAUCAAUUCCAUCAAGAGUGUCUUGAAUCCAUUCAUAUCCUGUCAAUACUGAAUUUCUACAUGAUUAAUAAUUCUGUCAGCGUAGGCAUUUCCUUCUGAAUUUCAAAGAUUCAAACAUUUAAGCUAGCUAUUUCUAAUGUUCCAAGUGACACAAUGAUAGAUUGGGAAGUAGAUAUAACCAACAUGUUAUCCAUUUAAAUCCAAAUAUUCCUCCAACUAUGCUCGUAAGGAGUCUAAAUAGUGAGCAUGACCGUCGUAAUCUGUGCACACAAGGUCGUUGAUAUGCCUAAAUUAGUAGCAAAACCUGCUACAGAUUGGCAUUCGAGUCGCUGAAAAUAUCUGGACAUGAAGCGUUACCAGGACACCCAUGGGCAACAUCGCUUCUGUUACAUUUAACCCGUUUUUAAGCCUCUCAAGCAUGGCCAUCUAUUAUGCUAAGUUCUGGAGUUCCUCAGCCAAGUAAUAACAACAUAAUCUUUAUCCCACUGAGGAAAGUUAGGAGCAAUUACCAGAGGUCUCUUCUAAGAACAUAUGAUAUUUUAAUGGAAAAUAUGGUUUUGGGAUAACAUCCCUGUUAUGGGCAUUGGUUGGAUCAUUUCUGGACUGUUUUCUAAUCUUUUUUAUCAUUUUAUUCUCUAUAUUAGAAAUAACUAUUUGAAAUUUUCCAUGGUUAGGAAUCUCAUGUCAAUGAGUAUUUUUUACUUCAUCUUCAUAGUCAACACCCCAGCGAGUUAAGAUUGAGAGCUUUUUAAGCAUGCAAAGUCGAAGGAACUGUUCCAUCUUCUGUGGGAUAUCAGCUUAUGAACUAUAUUUUACUACUACAUUUGUUUGAAUUAACACGCGAUACAAUUGUUUUUGCAGGUGGGAUUUGGUAGUUUCAAGCAUUUAAAACUAACUGAAUAUCCCGAGCUAAAAGAAUUGUGGUAUGGUCAACUUGAGCAUAACGCAUUUAGGAGUUUGAAGCAUCUAGUGGUUCAUAAAUGUGAUUUUUUAUCCAAUGUGCUCUUUCAACCUAACUUGGUAGGAGUACUGAUGAACUUGGAAAAAUUAGAUGUGAAGAAUUGUAAUUCAUUAGAAGCAGUUUUUGAUUUGAAAGGUGAAUUCACAGAAGAAAUUGCUGUGCAGAAUUCUACUCAAUUGAAGAAAUUAAAACUAUCCAAUCUUCCAAAACUGAAGCAUGUAUGGAAAGAGGAUCCACAUUACACUAUGAGGUUUCAAAAUUUAAGUGUUGUAUCUGUUGCGGAUUGCAAAAGCUUGAUAAGCCUCUUUCCACUCUCAGUGGCUAGAGAUAUGAUGCAACUUCAAAGUCUUCUUGUAAGUAACUGUGGGAUUGAAGAAAUUGUUGUCAAGGAAGAAGGACCAGAUGAGAUGGUUAAAUUUGUGUUUCCUCAUUUGACUUCCAUUGAACUUGAUAAUUUGACCAAACUUAAAGCAUUCUUUGUUGGGGUCCAUUCUCUUCAAUGUAAAUCAUUGAAAACCAUCAAGUUGUUUAAAUGUCCAAGAAUAGAGCUAUUUAAGGCAGAGCCAUUGAAACUCCAAGAAAGUUCCAAAAAUGUUGAGCAAAAUAUCUCAACUUAUCAACCUCUUUUUGUGUUUGAAGAGGUAAGAGUAGCGUUCAAUAUCAUAUCCUGCCUUUUAAUGUACAUGCACAACUUUUUAUAAUGUAUAUAUUAGACAAUUUAUUCACCAUGUCUAUUUCGUUAAUUGAAUGUUAAUGAUUAAUAAUUUUAUGUGAUAAUAUUCUACUGGCACAAGAUAUAAUGUUUUUAAUUGUUUCAAAAACUGGUAAAGAAAAUAUAUAUUUCUUAAGUAUAAUUUUGAUUUUGCAGGAGCUACUUACAAGUGUGGAGAGUACACCUCAAUUCAGAGAGUUGGAAUUAUUGCAGCUGCACAAGCUUAAAUAUAUAUGUAAAGAAGGAUUUCAAAUGGAUCCUUUUCUGCAUUUUCUUGAAAGCAUUGAUGUUUGCCAAUGUUCCAGUCUGAUAAAGUUGGUUCCGUCCUCUGUUACCUUUAGUUACAUGACCUAUUUGGAGGUAACAAACUGCAAUGGGUUGAUAAAUUUGAUAACACACUCAACAGCAAAGAGUCUUGUCAAACUCACAACAAUGAAGAUUGAAAUGUGUAAUUGGCUUGAGGAUAUAGUGAAUGGUAAAGAAGAUGAGACAAACGAGAUUGUAUUUUGCAGUUUACAAACUCUAGAACUAAUUUCUUUACAAAGACUCAUUCGAUUUUGCUCAUGCCCAUGCCCCAUUAUGUUCCCGUUGCUGGAAGUUGUUGUUGUCAAAGAAUGUCCUCGAAUGGAACUUUUUUCAUUGGGAGUUACAAACACAACAAAUCUUCAAAAUGUACAAACCGAUGAAGAAAAUCAUAGGGAGGGUGACCUCAACAGAACCAUAAAGAAAAUGUUUUUUGAUAAGGUAUAUUUUAUUAUCAUCCAUCAAUUUAUUUAGAUCAAUUUUAAGACUAUCUAUCUAGAUCAAUUUUGUAUUGUAGUAGACUAGAAUAUUAAUGCAUAAUUAAAGAUUGCUUAAAAGCAAUUUUGAUUUGUCUUUUGAUUUAUUAAUUUGAAUGAUCAGGUUGCAUUUGGUGAAUUCAAGUACUUAGCCUUAUCUGACUAUCCUGAGAUAAAGGAUUUGUGGUAUGGCCAACUUCAUCACAACAUGUUCUGCAAUUUGAAACAUCUUGUGGUGGAAAGAUGUGUAUUUUUUAUCACAUGUACUUUUUCCAUCAAAUGUAAUGCAAGUGCUACAAACAUUGGAAGAACUAGAAGUAAAAGAUUGUGAUUCCUUAGAAGCAGUGUUUGAUGUGAAAGGUAUGAAGUCACAAAAAAUAAUGAUUAAACAAAGCACUCAAUUGAAAAGAUUAACUGUGUCUAGCUUACCCAAAUUGAAGCACAUAUGGAAUGANNNNNNNNNNNNNNNNNNNNNNNNNNNNNNNNNNNNNNNNNNNNNNNNNNNNNNNNNNNNNNNNNNNNNNNNNNNNNNNNNNNNNNNNNNNNNNNNNNNNGGAUCCUCACCCUAGAAUCCACCAAUAAAUUAUAACAAAAAAAUUCGAAAUUAUAAUAUUACCUAAUUUUUUUAAUUUUGAAAAAGAUUUUAUAAAAUUUCUAGAAUAAAAUUUUCGAAAAAAAAUCUGAAUUUUUUCUAUUGAAAUUUUGGAAUAAAAAUUCUGGAAAAAGAUUAACUAUUUUUUUUAUGUUUUCAAAAAAUAUUAUCUAAAUACCGGAAAAUAUUUUCAAUUUUUUAUUUUAAAAAAAUUCAAGAAAAAUAUUUUCAGAAUUUUUAAUUCUGGAAAAAUAUUAUCUAAUGUUUUGUUUUUUUUAACUAUGAAAAAUAUUUUCCAAUAUUUUUAUUUUUUGUAUAAAAAACUGAACUUUUUAACUUCGAAAGAAAAAUCUGAACUUUUUUUGAAAUAUAUAUUCUAAUUAUUAUAAAAAAAUUGAAAUAAAUUAAGUUCGAUAAUUUUUAAUUUUUUUUUAUAAAAUAAAACUUCUUACUUUUUAAAAAAAUAUGAAUUAUUUUUAUUAUUUUUAAUUUUUCCAGAAUUUAUUAAUUUUUUUAAUAUUUCUAGAUUCUUUUUUUUUUUUUUUAAGAAUUUUUUUCCUUUUUUGAAAAAAAAGGCACAAAUGCCACAUGUACCCAUACAAAAAAUGAAAAACAAAAUUAAUUAUACAGUCUGUACGCCACAUGAUCAGAAAAAAGUGACUCUGCCCCACUAUUAAUUUGUCUCUUUAAUUAUACUAAGAGAUUUGACGCUUUAAUCCCUUUGCAUUUUUGUUUUAUUAAUUUGUCUUUCACUUUUUUGCUAUUUUCCCAUUCCUAUGGCAAAAAAAUUGGAAGUGAUGGAAAGUUAUCUCAUAUUUUCUGCAUCUUUAAUUUGUACCACACUAUUAAGAGGGUUCAUGUUCUUCAAACAUGAUCAACAUACCUUAUGAUCUUUAUUUUUUGUAAUUUAAUCUAUCUGUUCAAAUAUUACAACAAAAUAAUAACCGGUUUUCUUGACGCAUUCCAACCCAAAUUGUUAGCAAAUUCUUUCUAAAAGUUUUAACACCAUUUGGCGAAAACUUACACUAACAGUUAAUGUCGCUUCAUGUCCAAACCCGAGUUUUAACCAGAGAUUUUUUCGUAUUUUACCUACCGUAAUUAGUAUCUUUGACCACAAUAGAUAUCCCAAGGUAUCACUGUGGGCUUUGGCACUUUGGGUCUGCUAUGAGACUAAUUUUCGAAUCGGGAGCAAUUCAUCUAGUUUUUUUUUGUUAGAGGGUUUGGCUACCUCUCAAAUGGGCGACUCUAGGAAUCAAACACACUGUUCUUCUGCUCGAGAUAAUCAUCUUUCCAACUCUCCCACCAUGAUGUUGGUCGAACUCAAUUCCUUGGCUAAGAAUCUUUCAUUAAUUCAGACAUUUUAUAAUUAGAAAUUCUACCUUGAAAUUUUGUUAGGGGUCUUGCUAACCAGUACCUUAGGGACAAAGGUUAAUGAAUUUAUCAUUAGAAAUUUUAUCUUGAAAAUAUAAGUUUUGACUUUUGAUUAUAUUACACCAUUUUCUAUAAAAGGUUACUUGUUUUGGUUGUUUAUCCAAUGCUCGGGGCACUAGUUAGCAUUAUCCUUAUUAUUUUACAUGCUAUUUACUUAUAUCUUUAAUUUUUUUUUAUUGAUUAAAGAAUACUUAUACCUUUAUUUUUUUUAUUGGCUGUCAUGAUUGGUUACACAUGAUUGUAAUGAAAUUCAAUUUGCACAGUCUACCUUUAUUAUGUUCUAUUUAUUAAUUGCAGUUUUUCAUCGAAAAUAAGAGUAAUUUGUUAAUUUUCUCACAUUUUCAAAUGUUGCCCUUGUUUCUUUUGCCCUUAUCCAUAAAUAGUGUAUCUUUUUACUUUCACUUUCAGAUUUUGACUCAAGUCACAAGGAAGAGCAGAAGAAAAAAAAAAUCAAUGGAAAUUUUAAUUUCUAUUGUUGGAAAAAUAGCAGAAUAUACCGUUGUGCCUAUUGGACGUCAAACAAGUUACUUGAUAUUCUACAAAGGUAACUUCAAGACGUUAAAGGAUCAUGUUGAAGACCUUGAGGCUGCAAGAGAAAGAAUGAUCCAUUCAGUUGAAAGUGAAAGGGAAAAUGGUAAAGAAAUUGAAAAAGAUGUUCUGAAUUGGUUGGAGAAAGUGGAUGGGGUCAUUAAAGUGGCGAAUCAGCUUCAAAACGAUUCUCGCAAUGCAAAUGUUAGGUGCUCACCAUGGUCAUUCCCAAAUUUAAUUUUGCGUCAUCAACUAAGUAGGAAUGCCAGAAAAAUUGCAAAUAAUGUUGUUGAAGUUGUUCAAGGGAAAGAAAAGUUUAAUUCAGUUGGUCACUUUCCCCCUCUAGAUGUAGUAGCGUCCUCCUCAACAAGAGAUGGUGAAAAGUAUGACACAAGGGAGUCGCUUAAGGAGGACAUUGUGAAGGCUUUAGCAGAUCCUACUUCACGCAACAUUGGGGUCUAUGGGUUGGGUGGAGUGGGGAAGACCACUCUGGUGGAGAAAGUUGCUCAAAUAGCCAAGGAACUUAAAUUGUUCCAUAAAGUGGUUAAGACAGAAGUUUCUAAAAAUCCAGACAUUAAAAGAAUUCAAGGGGAGAUUGCCGAUUUCAUGGGUCUGCGAUUUGAAGAGGAGACUAUUCUUGGCAGAGCACAACGCCUAAGACAAACAAUCAAGAUGAAGAAAAGCAUCCUUAUCAUUCUAGAUAACAUAUGGACCAUACUUGAUUUGAAAGAAGUGGGGAUACCAGUUGGUGAUGAACAUAAUGGUGAUGAACAUAAUGGAUGCAAAUUGUUGAUGACAAGUAGAGAUGAAGAUGUGUUGCUUCAAAUGGAUGUCCCAAAGGAUUUCACUUUCAAAGUUAAACUUAUGCGUGAAAACGAGACAUGGAGUUUGUUUCAAUUUAUGGCAGGGGAUGUGGUUAAAGAUAGCAAUUUGAAAGAUCUACCAUUUCAAGUGGCCAGAAAAUGUGAAGGUUUGCCUCUUAGGGUAGUGACAGUAGCGCGUGCAAUGAAAAAUAAGAGGGAUGUUCAGUCUUGGAAAGAUGCAUUAAGGAAAUUACAAAGUAAUGAUCAUACAGAGAUGGACCCGGGAACUUAUUCUGCUUUGGAAUUGAGUUACAACUCAUUGGAGAGUGAUGAUAUGAGGGCUCUCUUCUUGCUUUUUGCAUUAUUCCUAGAUGAACAAAUAGAGUACUUUCUCAAAGUUGCAAUGGGGUUGGACAUAUUGAAGCAUCUUAAUGCCAUAGAUGAUGCAAGAAACAGACUUUACAGAAUAAUCAAAUCUUUGGAGGCGGCUUGUCUUUUGCUUGAAGUUAAAACAGUUGGAAAUAUCCAAAUGCAUGACUUUGUUCGUGAUUUUGCUAUCUCCAUAGCACGUAGGGACAAGCAUAUAUUUCUAAGAAAACAAUCUGAUGAGGAAUGGCCAACCAAUGAUUUUCUAAAAAGGUGCACUCAGAUCUUUCUAAAAAGAUGUCAUACACUCGAGCUUCCUCAAACGAUUGAUUGUCCAAACGUUAAGCUUUUCUAUUUGGGCAGUAACAAUUCUUCUUUCAAAAUCCCUGAUGCUUUUUUUGAGGGUAUGAGAAGCCUUAGAGUGCUAGAUUUAACGCACUUGAACUUGUUAUCAUUACCCACAUCGUUUCGGUUAUUAAGAGACCUUCAAACAUUGUGUUUGCAUCAAUGCGUUUUGGAAAAUAUGGAUGCACUAGAAGCUUUGCAAAAUUUAGAAAUUCUUUGCCUUUGGAAAUCUUCAAUGAUCAAGUUGCCAAGAGAAAUAGGGAGAUUGAUUCGAUUGAGAAUGCUUGACUUGAGCCAUUCAGGAAUAGAAGUAGUCCCACCCAACAUCAUAUCAAGCUUGACUAAAUUGGAGGAGUUGUACAUGGGUAAUACCUCUAUUAAUUGGGAAGAUGUGAGUUCAACGGUUCAUAAUGAAAAUGCUAGUCUUGCCGAGCUUCGAAAACUACCCAACUUGACAGCUCUAGAAUUACAAAUUCGUGAGACUUGGAUGUUGCCAAGGGACUUGCAAUUGGUGUUUGAGAAGCUGGAAAGAUAUAAAAUAGCUAUUGGAGAUGUAUGGGACUGGUCUGACAUCAAGGAUGGAACCUUAAAAACAUUGAUGCUCAAACUUGGUACAAACAUACAUUUGGAGCAUGGAAUUAAAGCAUUGAUUAAAGGUGUUGAGAAUUUGUAUUUGGAUGAUGUAGAUGGAAUUCAAAAUGUGCUUCCUAACCUAAAUAGAGAAGGAUUUACAUUGCUGAAACAUCUCCACGUCCAAAAUAAUACUAACUUGAAUCACAUUGUUGACAAUAAAGAGAGAAAUCAAAUCCAUUUUUCCUUUCCCAUCUUGGAAACACUAGUACUUCUUAAUCUUAGAAACUUGGAGCAUAUAUGUCAUGCUCAACCUUCGGUUGCUUCUUUUGGAAGUCUCAGUGUUAUCAAAGUAAAAAAUUGCAUCCAGUUAAAGUAUCUCUUCUCCUUUACAAUGGUUAAAGGACUUUCUCACCUUUGUAAGAUUGAAGUUUGUGAGUGCAAUUCUAUGAAGGAUAUAGUGUUCAGAGACAACAAUUCAAGUGCUAAUAUCAGUGAUGAAAAAAUCGAGUUUCUUCAAUUGCGUUCUUUGACUUUAGAACAUUUGGAGACACUUGAUAAU
This 34889-nucleotide long non-coding RNA is filed under the name Medicago truncatula (barrel medic). RNAcentral's name for it is "long non-coding RNA (MTRU_LNC001095)". The record is from RNAcentral. Lineage: Eukaryota; Viridiplantae; Streptophyta; Magnoliopsida; Fabales; Fabaceae.